This 209-nucleotide long non-coding RNA is filed under the name Elaeis guineensis (African oil palm). Its description in RNAcentral is "long non-coding RNA (EGUI_LNC024135)". The record is from RNAcentral. Lineage: Eukaryota; Viridiplantae; Streptophyta; Magnoliopsida; Arecales; Arecaceae.
GUGUCAAUUCACCUCUAUUUAUUUUUCUUUGUAGAGGAAAUAAUUAACGUUUCUCUAUUUAUUUAUAUAUCUAAGAUUUGAAACACAUAUCUAGCUCAUUCUCAAAUUUUAUCAAAUCUUCUCAUUUAUGUUUUCAUAAAUGAUGUGGGAUUGCUCUUGAAAUCGUGCCUAAUAUCUCGUUACCUGCUUUAAUGGUAGAAGUGGUGAUG